Benincasa hispida (wax gourd) is the source of this 5462-nucleotide non-coding RNA. Lineage: Eukaryota; Viridiplantae; Streptophyta; Magnoliopsida; Cucurbitales; Cucurbitaceae. The record is from RefSeq and is a predicted model, not a curated record.
ACCCGCUCAAAAACCCUACCUCAAGCGCUCAAACACUCCCAAGCUCUUGUCCUACUCAACUUUCCUGUCCGUCUCUCUUGAUUCCCAAACGUUUAGCUGUACAGAAGAAACCAAAGAAUAUACUUCUAUACUACAUUGAUUCAAAAUCCCUACUCCGUUUACCCUCCAACCCCAGAGGAUUUCUGCUCCCAAUUCCGCUUCCCAAUUUUUGUUUUAGGGUUCCACACCAGAUGGCAUUGGACGAGGAUGUCGUGCUGCGCGAUGUCACCAAUGCUGGUGUUGUCAUCAGCGACCGCAUUUCCAGAGAAGUUGCCACUCAACUUGAUCUGGAGGAAGCGCUGGAAGCUUCCAGAUACGCUACCGAUCCGUAUACAACCCAUCCCAGAGAGUGGCCUCCUCUUGUGGAAGUGGUGGAUACUUGGGAGUUGCCUCCAGUGCUUAUAGAAAGAUAUAAUGCCGCUGGUGGGGAAGGAACUGCCUUAUGUGGAAUAUUUCCAGAAAUACGAAGAGCUUGGGCAUCUGUUGAUAAUUCUUUAUUUCUUUGGCGAUUGGACAAGCGGGAUGGUCAAUGUCCUGAGUUUAAUGUGGAGGAGCAAGCCAUCUGUGCCGUUGGCCUCACCAAAUCCAAGCCUGGUGUUUUUGUUGAGGCAAUACAGUAUCUUUUAAUUCUAGCUACACCAGCAGAGUUGAUUCUUGUAGGAGUAUGCUCUUCUGGUGGUGCUGAUGGUAUGGAUCCAUAUGCAGAGAUUUCACUCCAGCCUUUGCCAGAGUAUACUAUUGCGUCAGAUGGAGUCACUAUGACUUGCAUCACUUGCACUGACAAAGGACGAAUUUUUUUGGCUGGACGUGAUGGCAACAUUUAUGAGCUUCAUUACACAUCUGGUUCUGGUUGGCAAAAGCGAUGUCGUAAAAUUUGCCUUACUUCUGGUUUAGGAAGUGUGAUAUCAAGAUGGGUUGUGCCGAAUGUAUUCAAGUUUGGAGCUGUUGAUCCCAUUGUUGAAAUGAUCUAUGAUUGUGAAAGAUGCAUUUUAUAUACAAGAACUGAGGAAAUGAAAGUUCAAGUAUUUGUGUUGGGAUCCAAUGGUGAUGGACCGCUUAAGAAAGUAGCAGAAGAAAGAAAUUUGAUCAAUCAGAGAAAUGGAUCUUAUGGAAGUAGACAGUCAAAAGGACCUAGAGCUAUGAGUCGAUCAACAAUGCCAUCUAUUGUCUGCAUAUCACUCUUAUCUACACUUGAAUCAAAGUCAUUACACCUUCUAGCGGUUUUAUCAGAUGGUAGAAGGAUGUAUUUAACCACUUCACCAUCAAAUGGGAACUUGGGUGCAUAUAAUUCCAGCCAUCAGACGCCAAGUUGUUUAAAAGUUGUGGCUACAAGGCCUUCUCCUCCCCUAGGUGUUGGCGGAGGACUUACAUUUGGUGCCAACUCUGUCUCUGGUAGACCUCAAAAUGAAGAGCUGUUGCCGAAGGUUGAGACAGCAUUUUACUCUGCUGGGACUCUAGUCCUCUCCGAUUCUUCACCACCAACUAUAUCUUCACUUCUCCUUGUGAGCAAGGAUCCAGUAGCACAAUCUUCGAUGUCUGGUACUUCAGCCUUAAAUGCAAGGACUUCUUUUGCUUUAAGGGAAAUUGUUUCUUCUCUUCCUGUUGAAGGUCGAAUGCUUUUUGUAGCAGAUGUUUUACCCUUACCAGAUGCUGCAGCCACUAUGCAGUCUUUAUAUUCACAGAUUGAGUUUGGGGUGUCAGAUUUCCCAGAUGGGCAUGGUGAAAAAGCAGUUGGAAAACUGUGGGCAAGAGGAGACCUAUCUACCCAACACAUAUUACCUAGGAGGAGACUUGUUGUAUUCAGUACCAUGGGCAUGAUGGAUAUAGCUUUCAACAGACCCGUGGAUAUUUUGAGAAGGUUGUUUGAGUCUAAUUCACCAAGAUCAAUUUUGGAAGACUUCUUCAAAAGGUUUGGAGCUGGUGAAGCAGCUGCCAUGUGUCUAAUGUUGGCUUCAAGGAUUGUCCACUGUGAAAGUCUCAUAACCAAUGUUGUUGCAGACAAGGCAGGUGAAGCUUUCGAGGAUCCUAGAAUUGUUGGGAUGCCUCAACUUGGAGGCCAUACUGCCUUGUCAGACACAAGAACUGCUGCUGGUGGGUUUAGCAUGGGUCAGGUUGCUCAGGAUGCUGUGCCAGUAUUUUCAGGUGCACAUGAAGGGCUCUGCUUAUGUUCAUCAAGACUGCUUUUUCCACUAUGGGAACUUCCUGUCAUGGUUGUUAAAGGUAUCUCAGAUUCUACAACUACUUCACACAACGGAUUAGUUGUAUGUAGGCUUUCUGUAGGAGCGAUGCAAAUCCUUGAGCACAAGCUCCGCGCUCUUGAAAAGUUCCUAAGGUCAAGAAGGAACCAGAGAAGAGGUCUUUAUGGUUGUGUAGCUGGUUUGGGAGAUGUUACAGGUUCUAUUCUUUAUGGUAGUGGUUCAGAUCUUGUUUCUAGUGAUCGGAAUAUGGUGAAAAGCAUUUUUGGUACAUACACAAGAAACAUGGAAUCUGCUGGGACUGGAGCUUCUAAUAAAAGGCAGAGAUUACCUUACAGUCCUGCUGAGUUGGCGGCCAUGGAGGUUAGGGCAAUGGAAUGUAUUAGGCAACUGCUGCUUAGAUCUGCUGAAGCUUUGUUUUUGCUUCAGCUUCUUUCUCAACACCACUUAACACGCUUGGUUCAGGGCUUGGAUGAUAGUUUUAGGCAGGCAAUAGCUCAAUUGACUUUUAAUCAGCUUGUUUGUUCAGCAGAGGGUGAUAAUCUUGCUACGAGACUUAUAUCUGCUCUAAUGCAGUACUAUACUGGUCCUGAUGGCAGGGGAACUGUAGAUGACAUUAGUGGGAGAUUAAGGGAAGGCUGCCCAAGCUACUUUAAAGAGUCUGAUUAUAAAUUUUUCUUAGCGGUGGAAUGUCUGGAGAGGGCUGCUGUGACUCUUGACCCGAUGGAGAAAGAGAAUCUUGCUAGGGAAGCCUUCAAUUGUUUGAGUAAAAUUCCAGAGUCUGCAGAUUUACGAACUGUAUGCAAACGUUUUGAGGAUUUAAGAUUCUAUGAAGCGGUGGUUCGUUUGCCUCUGCAGAAAGCCCAGGCUCUUGACCCUGGAGGUAAUGCUUUUAAUGAUCAAACUGAUUUGGCUGCUCGAGAACGUGCACUUUCCGAGCGUGAACAGUGCUAUGAAAUAAUUAUAAGUGCUUUACGUUCACUAAAAGGUGAUGUCUCACUGAAAGAAUUUGGGUCUCCUAUGAAGCCUGCUGCUUUAAGGUCCAUUCCUGAUAUGGCAACACGUAGUAAAUAUAUAUGCCAGAUUGUGCAGCUUGGAGUUCAAUCACCAGAUAAACUUUUCCAUGAUUACUUGUAUCGGUCUAUGAUUGAUUUGGGGCUUGACAAUGAAUUGUUAGAAUAUGGAGGACCAGAUUUGGUACCGUUCCUACAAAAUGCUGGGCGGCAUCCCAUACAAGAGGUUCGAGCUGUCUCAGCUCUAACAGCUGGGGCUUCUCCAAUUGGUCAGUCGGGAGCAGUUGGUGCAACAAAUGAAGCCAAAUUUUUUGAUCUUUUAGCUCGAUAUUAUGUUAUGAAGCGGCAACAUUUGCUUGCUGCUCAUGUGCUGCUAAGACUAGCUGGUAGACGCUCAUCUGAUCCUGGGGAUGUUCUUACUUUGGAGCAGAGGUGCCAAUACUUGAGCAAUGCAGUUUUACAAGCAAAGAAUGCUAACAGUAGCAAGGGGUUGGCAGGUUCUACCCCUGAUACCUUAGACAAUGGAUUGCUUGAACAGCUUGAAGGGAAACUUGCUGUUCUUCGUUUCCAGAUGAAAAUUAAGGAGGAGCUUGAGGCUUUAGCUUCAAGAAUAGAAUCCGUGGCAAGUACAUCUGAUUCAGUCCAAAAUGAAAUGAUCCCAGAUAAUAAUGAUUUGGCUGCCAAUUCCAGUAUUGCAAAUACGGCUCGGCAAAAGGCUAAAGAGCUCUCAUUGGAGUUAAAGACUAUAACUCAGCUAUAUAAUGAAUAUGCUGUUCCAUUUGAGCUAUGGGAGAUAUGUUUGGAAAUGCUGUACUUUGCAAACUAUUCUUCUGAUGGCAAUACUAGUAUUGUCAGAGAAACUUGGGCUCGAUUAAUUGACCAAGCUCUUUCUACGGGUGGCAUUGCUGAAGCUUGUUCAGUACUAAAAAGGGUUGGUGUCCACAUUUACCCUGGCGAUGGAGCUGGAAUACCUUUGGAGUCUCUUUGUCUUCACCUUGAGAAGGCUGCAUUGGAGAGAUCAGAAUCAGGUGUUGAAUCUAUUGGGAACGAUGAUGUUGCAAGAGCCCUUAUUUCUGUUUGCAAGGGUGCAACUGAGCCAGUAUUGAAUGCUUAUGAUCAAUUGUUGUUGAAUGGUGCAAUUCUGCCAUCACCCAAACUCAGGUUACGCCUCCUCCAAUCUGUGUUAGUGGUACUCCAUGAGUGGGCUAUGUCAAUAUCUUCACAGACUGUGGGUAGAAGUGCAACUUCAGCAUCUCUAGUUCUUGCGGGAAAAUACUCUUUGGAUCAAGUAGCUAUUUUCAACCAAGGGGUUCGGGACAAGAUAGCCAGCGCUGCUAACAGAUAUAUGACUGAGGUUCGUAGGUUAGCCCUUCCACAAAACCAAACUGAGGCUGUCUAUCGAGGCUUUAAGGAGCUUGAAGAGUCACUAGUUAGUUCCUUUUCUUUUAGUCAAUUUUGAUUUAUCUUUGUUCUAUAAUUUCUGUUGUACCAAAUGUUUGAGGUCUCAAUUGAUUCUUUCAAGAUACAAAGGUAGAUUUUUCAAAGCUGAAGUGGCUUCUGUAACCCGCAAUGUAAUAUUAUCAGAAGGUAGUUAAUGAUGCAGUGUAAUGUUGGAUAAUAGAUACCUACUUGUGUUGGCAUGUUGAUGCAUGUAAAGCUAUCGUAAUCUUGUCAGUUUGGUUCACUUGCUCCAUGGGGUUGGGAUAAUGAGACGUAGUAAUGUAUUUACAGUACACAGGUAACUGGCCCGGACAUCAACGAGGCAAGUCAAUUUUGACUGUUGACGGUGUCACGGUUGCUGCACAUCCUGCUGGAAAAUGACAGCCUUCGUAAUGCCUUGGUAGGGGGUAAAUAUUUGAUUGAGACAUCCGUAGUUAUUGUCAUUCCUAUUUAUCAUGUUUGUGUUUGCAACUUUGCACCAGUUUAAGUGCCUGGAAAUGCAUUUCAGUAGAAUAACUGCAAUGAACACUCUCGAGAAGUUUAGGAUUCUGCUUUGGCUGUGAGAGUUGUGCUAAUAAUCCGGACGAACAGCCUGGCCGUGGGGUAUUGCAACGAGUUGGUCGAUGUAAUUUUAUUUAUCUAGAUUUUCUUAGUUUGAUUGGUUGAUGGUAAAUUUCCAUGUCCAGUUUAUUUGAUUGUUCCAUGACCUGUGAUUUUCUUAAAGAGCUUAUGGUGUGUUUUUUUGGUUAAUAUUUCAAAAUUCUUAAUGGAAAAA